AUUGAACGCUGGCGGCAGGCCUAACACAUGCAAGUCGAGCGGAUGAGAGGAGCUUGCUCCUCGAUUCAGCGGCGGACGAGUGAGUAAUGCCUAGGAAUCUGCCUAGUAGUGGGGGACAACGUUUCGAAAGGAACGCUAAUACCGCAUACGUCCUACGGGAGAAAGUGGGGGAUCUUCGGACCUCACGCUAUUAGAUGAGCCUAGGUCGGAUUAGCUAGUUGGUAGGGUAACGGCCUACCAAGGCGACGAUCCGUAACUGGUCUGAGAGGAUGAUCCGUCACCCUGGAACUGAGACCCGGUCCCGACUCCGACGGGAGGCAGCAGUGGGGAAUAUUGGGCAAUGGGCGAAAGCCUGAUCCAGCCAUGCCGCGUGUGUGAAGAAGGCCCUCGGGUCGUAAAGCACUUUAAGUUGGGAGGAAGUGCUUACAGCGAAUACCUGUGAGUUUUGACGUUACCGACAGAAUAAGCACCGGCUAACUUCGUGCCAGCAGCCGCCGUAA
RNAcentral lists this ribosomal RNA (500 nucleotides) under uncultured bacterium. Its description in RNAcentral is "partial 16S ribosomal RNA". It matches the Rfam family "Bacterial small subunit ribosomal RNA", at positions 30 to 523 of the family's 1533-position model. The record is from RNAcentral.